GUAACUAAAUAUUGUAUAGGUGCUUCAAGAGAAGAUAAUAGGGAAAGAGGUGAAAUUCCUCUACAGCCCCCGCUACUGUAAGGAUGACGAAACCUUGUGACCACUGGUGAAAUCGGGAAGGAAAAGGAAGUAGAAUGAAUCCGAGUCAGGAGACCUGCCUACACGAAUUUGAGAAA
RNAcentral lists this non-coding RNA (176 nucleotides) under Dethiosulfatibacter aminovorans. RNAcentral also lists the same sequence under 1 other name. Lineage: Bacteria; Bacillati; Bacillota; Tissierellia. The record is from RNAcentral.